This 443-nucleotide ribosomal RNA is filed under the name uncultured bacterium. RNAcentral describes it as "partial 16S ribosomal RNA". It matches the Rfam family "Bacterial small subunit ribosomal RNA", at positions 338 to 795 of the family's 1533-position model. The record is from RNAcentral.
CCUACGGGCGGCAGCAGUGGGGAAUAUUGGGCAAUGGGCGCAAGCCUGACCCAGCAACGCCGCGUGAAGGAAGAAGGCUUUCGGGUUGUAAACUUCUUUUGUCAGGGACGAAGCAAGUGACGGUACCUGACGAAUAAGCCACGGCUAACUACGUGCCAGCAGCCGCGGUAAUACGUAGGUGGCAAUCGUUAUCCGGAUUUACUGGGUGUAGAGGGGGUGUAGGCGGGAAUGCAAGGCAGAAGUGAAAACUCUGGGCCCAACCCCUGGCCUGCAUUUGAAACUGUGUGUCUUGAGUGCAGGAGGGGCAAGCGGAAUUCCGGGUGUAGCGGUGAAAUGCGUAGAUAUAAGGAGGAACACCAGUGGCGAAGGCGGAUUGCUGGACAGUAACUGACGCUGAGGCGCGAAAGCGUGGGGAGCAAACAAGAUUAGAUACCCUAGUAGUC